Peromyscus maniculatus bairdii (prairie deer mouse) is the source of this 465-nucleotide non-coding RNA. NCBI's taxonomy places the organism in Eukaryota, Metazoa, Chordata, Mammalia, Rodentia, Cricetidae. The record is from RefSeq and is a predicted model, not a curated record.
GGGAUCCUUGUGAGUUCCAGACCAGCCAGUGAGACCAUAGAAAACAAACAGAAAACAAAAGAAGUCACACAGGAUACGUAUCCAAGAGCACAGGGUACUGUGUCUGCUUCAUUGGUGUAAGGCGAGGUCUUCAUGUGCUUCAGGCUGGACCCUGACGACACAGCGGAGGCUGACUCUGAACGUCUAAUUCUGGCUCCACCUCCUGAAUUCCGUGUGUGCCGCCAUGCCCACUUUGUCUGGCCCUGGCACUUAAUCCAGGACUUUGUGAAUGCCAGGGAAACACUAUCAAUGGAGCUAUGUUCCCGGUCCAAGAGAGCUGCUCUCCUAACGCCCACGUCCCCUGUACACAGAGCUAAAUCCUCAGUCUCCCGACUGGAUUUUUAAUAUGUCCUUUUUUCUUUGGAAGUGUAUAUUUGAAUUAUAUUGAAACUAACAUUAGAAUAAAGUGAGCACAGUGACACAUGG